This 468-nucleotide ribosomal RNA is filed under the name uncultured bacterium. RNAcentral describes it as "partial 16S ribosomal RNA". It matches the Rfam family "Bacterial small subunit ribosomal RNA", at positions 28 to 507 of the family's 1533-position model. The record is from RNAcentral.
GACGAACGCUGGCGGCGUGCUUAACACAUGCAAGUCGAACGGAAAGGCCCUGCUUUUGUGGGGUGCUCGAGUGGCGAACGGGUGAGUAACACGUGAGUAACCUGCCCUUGACUUCGGGAUAACUUCAGGAAACUGGGGCUAAUACCGGAUAGGAGCUCCUGCUGCAUGGUGGGGGCUGGAAAGUUUCGGCGGGUGGGGAUGGACUCGCGGCUGAUCAGCUUGUUGGUGGGGUAGUGGCUUACCAAGGCUUUGACGGGUAGCCGGCCUGGGAGGGUGACCGGGCACAUUGGGCCUACGAUACGGACCAGACUGCUACGGGAGGCAGCAGUGGGGAAUAUUGCACAAUGGGCGGAAGCCUGAUGAGGAAACGCCGCGUGCGGGAUGACGGCCUUCGGGUUGUAAACCGCUUUCGCCUGUGACGAAGCGUGAGUGACGGUAAUGGGUAAAGAAGCACCGGCUAACUACGUG